GGCUGCGUAGUGUAGCGGUUAUCACUUCAGAUUCUGAUAUCGUGAAUUCUGGCGACCCCGGUUCGAUUCCGGGCGCGGCCU
Molecule: non-coding RNA, 81 nt
Organism: Mycena epipterygia
Lineage: Eukaryota; Fungi; Basidiomycota; Agaricomycetes; Agaricales; Mycenaceae
Source: the annotation of a GenBank genome assembly